This is a non-coding RNA of Caretta caretta (loggerhead turtle), 5810 nucleotides long. NCBI's taxonomy places the organism in Eukaryota, Metazoa, Chordata, Testudines, Cheloniidae. The record is from RefSeq and is a predicted model, not a curated record.
CUCAGCGGUACGAACGACCCCGCGGGCUGUAGUUAAGCCGGCCCGACCGAAGCCCGCCCCGCAGACGCAACCAGGAUCUGAUAGGGAACACUUCCUACAUCAUUUUUGAGAUUGUACUCCAGUUUGGAAUACUCUAUAUGGUAGUUCAUUGGAACGCCUGCAUCCAAUUCUACACUGAGAACUUACUGCAAUUUCCAGUUAACUCUUGGGUUUACCAGCAGAACCUUACGAUGAAUGACAUUCAGGAAUAUAUUUCAUACCGAAAGCUACCACAGGAUUUGUGCCAACGGAUUUUCACCUACUAUGAUAUCCAGUACCCCUACUAUGAUAUCCGGUACCAAGGAAGGUGGUACAAUGAAGAGGAAAUCCUCAAUGAGAUGUCAGAACCUCUGAAAGAGGAGGUGAAGCACCAUCUCUGUGCCAGGCUGGUGAAGAAAGUGUCACUGUUCCAGCAUUGUGAUCUGAACUUCCUGAAUGCAGUGAUUAUGCAUCUCAAUAUUGAACUGUUCCAGCCUACAGAGGCAGACUAACAACGUUUUUGAAUUCCUGUCAGCCAGCAUGGACGCAGCAGUGCCCUACAGCACUGUGCUGGCAACCACAAAUACACAGAGGCUGUUUGGGCUAUAUUCAACACUCAAAGUUGGAUGAAACUCAGCAUUGGACUUCACCCGACACACCACCAAGCAGAUGACAUUGUCGUGGCAGCAGCUCUUCCAGCAGCUUCAGUGGCAAUGGAGGGACAAGGACAAGGAAGAAGAGGAGACCACCAAGCAACUGAUACUAGAGAAGCGGUUCCUGGAUGAACUACACAGUGUUCAGUGUUGUUCUUCAAGUGAUUACACAUGUCCGUUCUACUGUCGAUGCGUGCACGCCAAGUGCAGUUAUUAGAGAUUUCCCCCUCAGCAGUACCCAUCAGGGCAGUGUGAGUGUCCUUUACUGCCUCAUAUCACUGUAUGCAGAUAUAAAGGCAGAGCCUCCCCCGUCCCCUCUCAGUUCCUUCCUACCACCCAUGAUGUUGGAGCUGCUGUCCUUGCAUUUGCAGUCCCACCCUCUUUGUUGUAGUACCUGUUCUGUUAGUUUUAGGCUAGUUUAGAGUUUUUGUACAUAGUUUAAGAUAUAAGAUUAAGUUUAGAUUAGUACUUAAUAGCAUGGAUUCGCCAGUUCCCAUUUUGGUACUGGUACCAAACUCAUGCCUUGUUUUCCAGGCUUCAAGUCUUGUCACUCAUGUAACAAGUCCAUGCCAGUGAGUGACCCAAACCCCAGCUGCCUAAGUGUGAGGCAGAUGUGAGUGACAAAUGUCACAUUUGUAGGGGAUUCAAACCUCUCUCAAAGACAGUGCAGCCAUACUCAAAUAUCUGCUGAUGGAAUCUGUGCUCCUCCCACCAUCACAGCCUUUGUAGGGGUAGGAUUUUAUAUUUGUAUUAAAGGUCAUAGUUUAUCCUGCCAGCCACCCUUUUUGAAUAGCAGAAAGGAAUGACCCUCUGGGGCAUUGGUUUUAGGAUAAGUUGUAUUAUAAAAGAUGGGGUCUUACAAAAAUCAGGAGUCCACAUAUUCACUUAUCUAGAUGAUUGGCCAGUAAGAGGCUGGUCUAGGUCUCCGGUACUGUCCAGCAUAGCCACCAUACAGUCCACCUUCAGUGCUCUGGGGCUUCUAAGCAAUACAGUGAACUAUAACCUACUCCUGUACAGACAAUAGAAUUUAUUGGGGCAGCCCUGGACUCCUACAAAGGCCAGGGCUUUCCUGCUAGGGUUAAGAUUCCAAGCAAUGCGGGUCAUUGCUCUAGAUCUAAACACACAUUCUGUCACUACAGUGUGAAAUUGCCUCAAGCUUCUAGGGCACAUGGUAGCAUGUGCUUAGAUAGUACAGGAUGCCAGGCUGUGCUUCAGGGAGCUAGCUUUGGCGUACUCACCAGCUCAUCAUCAUAUGGACAUGGUGGUUCAAGUGACAGCCUGGACUGGUGGAGAGAACUCUUGAAUGUUUGUGAGGGAGUCCCCUUUGGUGCUCUACAACAGACACUCACCUUUGUCACAGAUGCAUUGGUUCUAGGCUGGGGAGCUCACUUAGGUCCCUAACAGGCACAAGGUCUUUGGUCUAUUCAAGAUCUAAAGCUCCAUAUAAAUGUAAGGGAGCUUCGGGCCAUCUGUUUGGCUUGCAUGGUGUUCCUUCCACAUAUCAAGAGGCAGAAUGUGUUGGUGCUUACAGACAACACAGCAGCCAUCUUCUGUGUAAACAAAUGGAGGGCCUAGUUGACAAAGUUAUGCCAAGAAGUGUUUCUGCUUUGGAAUUUCUGCAUCACCAGUUCCAUCAUCCUGAAAGCUGCUUACCUUCCAGGGGCUCAGAAUGCUCUGGUAGAUCACUUAAUCAGGUCAUUCACAAGUCACCACAAGUGGUCCCUUCAUCCAGAUGUGACCACAUCCAUUUCCCAGCUGUGGGGAAUCCCCCAAGUGAACCUGUUUGCAAAAUGAGCAUACAAAAAUGUUAUCUUUUUUGUUCCUGAGCAGGCCACACCCUGGGUUUGUUGACAGAUGCCUUCAUGCCACCCUGGUCGAAGAGCCUGCUGUAUGCAUUCCCUCCAACUCCACUCCUGCCCAAGGUCUUGUCAAGAGUCAAAGAGCCCUCCACCCGACAGCUUGGAUUCUUUCUGGCCAACAUCCUUGGAAGGAGGUUGUUCUAAGGAAGUUCAGGAAGUUCUAAAUAGUAGAAAGCCUUCAACUAAGACUCUUUACCUUGCUAAAUGGACAAGUGUGAUGGGGCGUCUGCCCCACACUGGCCUGUAAGGGGUUAAUGGAGUCCUAGGGAGGCCGCGCAGAAAGCAGCCAAUAGGAGAGGGGCUGCGAGGAGCAGCCCAUUAGGGCCAGGCAGGCCUAUAUAAGAAGAGCUGCACAGCAGAGCAGGUUCAGUUGCUCCCUGGAGCUUGAGGAGGGCUCAAUGGCUGCCUUGCAGGAGGAAGAAAGCUAGCACCCUGGACAGAUCAGUGCUGGGCAGGAUCAGGGGAGUGAGAGCGAGUUCCUGGCUGCAUGCUAAGACUGGCAUGCUGAGGCCCUGAGAUAAGGGUGCAGAAGGUGCUAGGGCCAUGGGGAAGUGGUCCAGGGAAAGAUACUGAGAGAUUAGAGGGAAAGCAGCAUAGGGCUGCCAUCUACAAGGUCCCUGGACCAGGACCUGGAGUAGUAGGUGGGUGCAGGUUGUCACCCCCCAACACACUCACUCGCCACUGAGGAAGUGGCUGGACCAGUGGACUGUGAUACUGUCCCCCGGAAAGGGGGAGCACAGAGUAUGGCACAGCUGAGGGCUGUGUCCUGAAGAGGAUGCUGCAGUCCUUGGAGUGUCCCGGAGCAGAAGCGAUAGCAGGCGCGACACCACCUCCAAUAGAAAAUUGAAAAACAGCCAGGGCAAUAGUGUCAGGGAUGCCUGUUGCUCUUACUUUGAGUGCCAGGCCUGAAAAUAUGCAGCUGAAUUAUUUAAAAUUUAUGACUUUUCUGGGUAAAAUGCAUUGAUGACUAUGAAAGAAUUUUUAAUUGUUUCUAUUAUUAAACAGUCUAUUAUGUAGCAGUCAGAAAGAAACCUUUAAUUAAACAAUAAUGAAGCAAAAAUUCAAAGUGACACAGUGCAGUGGAGAGUAGAACACAACAAGGGGAGUGGGGAUUCAAGUCACAGGUGAGUAUAUGCCUGGACACUGCCUCUUCUUGUUCUUGGGCCUUCUGGUGUUGACUGGCGACACUCAAAGUUAUCAGAGGCAUUAGAUGGCUGAAAAGAGCUGGGGUCCCAGUUGUUCUCACUGGCCUGAGCAGAGCAUUCUGGCUCUGUACUGCCUCCAGGAGUUGCCUCUGCAUCUCCCAUUUCCACUUAUCCCAGCAUCCCUGGUUUUAAUGUACAUUCUCCCGAGCUGUUUGCUCUUUCACCUGCAUUGGUCAGCAUCAUGGUUGUCCCCUUGUAGACAUCUGCUUAACAAUGUCCACAAAAAGAACUUUAUUCCAUUGUCUGGCCACAAGAGCUUCCUGCACUGAUGUUUCUCAGCAGAUGAUGAUGAAGAUCUAGGGUCUCAGGAUGGCUCCAGGAGGCUGCUUGAGGUAUGUGGGCUUCUGGAGUACUAUUGCAGCCAUGCUGAUAUACUCAAAUCCCGGAGCAAAUGGGCCAAUUUUGGCUACGCUGCAGUUUUUAAACAGGGGAGGGGACAUCCAGUCAACUUGAUACCGGAGCAGUGGAGGGCAUGCAGGUAAACUAAUGGGUGGCUGCAAAGCUGUGUGGGAUAGCAGUUGGAAGACUGCCAAAGCAGUGUGCAGCAGCUUUGCAUGAACACAAACAAUAGACUGAACUACUACUCACAUCUCAUCUCUCAUAAAUAUAAAGGGAAGGGUAAACACCUUUAAAAUCCCUCCUGGCCAGAGGAAAAACCCUUUCACCUGUAAAGGGUUGAGAAGCUAGGAUAACCUCGCUGGCAGCUGACCAAAAUGACCAAUGAGGAGACAAGAUACUUUCAAAGCUGGAGGAGGGGGAGAAACAAAGGCUCUCUCUGUCUGUGUGAUGCUUUUGCUGGGAACAGAAAAGGAAUGGAGUCUUAGAACUUAAACUUGAAGUUGUGCAACAGAAUAAAACAUAAUAGCCAUGACAAACUGUAGGAGCUGAAGAUGAAGAGGAGCCAAAAAGGAAUAGUCAGUGUCUUCAGAUGCAAGAGCCAUUCCACUGCUGCUAUGUCACAGAUUUCAGCUGCUGGGAUGUGUGAAGGAAUGAACCAGUGCAUCUCACAUCUCAAAGGUUUUUGAGAUCAAGUCAGUCUCUGGGACGAAUUGUCUUUUGAGUUCAGCUCUGCAAGGUGAUUAUCCUCAUACAUCUCUGUUGCAUUUCUGCAUUUGUUCAGCAUAUGCAGUUGUGUUAUCCACUGGGCAAUUUUGAGAGGAGAAUUAAGCAAUGAAGCAGAAAACAGAGCUCUUUUUAGGCGGUUUCUUUCACCUCAAGUCAGGUCAGGUUCUAACUUACUGUCUUUAAAAUACCUAAUCACCUUGCCUUUGUCUUCUCUGCUGACAUUUAUAUAAAUGGACCCUCUCAUCCUUUCCGUAUUGAACUAAGGAUACAAUUUUCAGAGGUGCGUAAGGGAGUUGGGGAGCCUAACUCCCAUUUUCAAAAGUAAUGUAAGUGUUUGAAGGUCAGUGGGACUUAAGUUCCUAAGGGCCAGAGUUUUAUAGGUAUUUAGGCACCUAAAGAUACAGAUGGGUGCUUAGUGGGACUUUGAAAAUUCCCAGGGUGUUAGGGGCCUCAGCACUUGUGAAAAUCCCAUUAAAUGUCUAUCUGUAUCUUUAGGUGCCUGAAUGCCUUUACAAAGCUGGCCUCAACUCACUUUUGAAAAAUGUACCCUAAAUCUUCAACUCAGGCCCAUAUCCAGAUUAUAUUGAGUUGGAUUUUAAAUACCAUUGCCCAGUGUACUAUUUCCUCCAAUAACUGAGAGCUUGUUGAAUUCGGUUUUCCCUAUAUAUGGUUAACUCCACAAAGUUCAUGUAUGCAGGGGGGAAAUCUUUUAGUCAAACUCUGCUGUAUGGACCAGAGAGCACCGAAUUUUGCCUGGAACUUGUGUGAAGCUCUCGGAGCCACAGAAAUAACCUCCCUUAGAACUCCAAACUUUCCAGUGUGGUGGCCAGAGGAGUGAGAAUGCUUAUUGUCUCUGUGUGAUGGAAGGUGAUGUGACUGAGAUUAGUGCAGCUUCUGAAAUGGAUGUUUCACAGCAUGUUCAGUGUCACUGUAUCUAUAGUGUUACUAGAAACAAAAAUAUUUUUGUACUGACGAUAACUAACUCAAAUAAAAUACAAAGUUUAAGUAAA